RNAcentral lists this long non-coding RNA (1337 nucleotides) under Sorghum bicolor (sorghum). RNAcentral's name for it is "long non-coding RNA (SBIC_LNC016596)". The record is from RNAcentral. Lineage: Eukaryota; Viridiplantae; Streptophyta; Magnoliopsida; Poales; Poaceae.
GGCGAGAUCCGAAACCGCGACAAUGGCCGCAAUCCAAGCUCUCGAGCCUCGCGGGUGGGGAAAAUAGUAUGCGGGGAAAUCCUCGAGCUUUAUAGGGGCGUCGGUUUGGCGAAAAAGGCAACGAAUCACGGAAUAGACGGAGUCGGUUUUCCCCCGGUGGAAUCCUGUUCGUCCACGGUACAAGGAAGGAGAAGAACAGCGCGCUGACAAGUGGGUCCAGGCGCGCAGUGAGAGAGCUGGCGGGGCCAGUUCGUCAGCCAAGGAAAGGGGGAGAAAUCAGCGCGCAGAGAGCUGGCCGCUGGGCCGCGCAGCGUGCUGGGCUCGGGCGGGGGAAUUGGGCCGGGGCGAGGAGGAAGAAUGGGCCGGUUGCGCGUUUGGGCCGAGGGGGAAAAGGGAGAAGGGAAACUGGGCGCAUUGCUGCUGGGCCUUCCAGGCCGAAACCGGAGAGAGGAAAAGGAUUUGCUCCUUCUUUUGUUUUUUUUUCUUUUAAAGCCUUUUCAAAACAAUUUAAAAAUCAGUUUGAAAAUAUUUUGACUUUCCCCUAAAUCACACAGCACAAGAGAGUAAAUGCUCCAAUAAGAAUGCACAACAAGUUGCUACAUCCUAUGAUAAAUUUUAAAUAAAUGAAAAAUAUUAUUUUCCUAUAUUUUCAUGAGCACAGAAUACAAAAUUAAAUCAUUUUUCUCCUAUUUCAAAAGUUGUAAAUUUUUGGGUGUUACAGUGAACUAAUAAUUACAGAGUCAUAUUAUGAUAUUCUUCUAGCUGAGAUCGACAUUACGUACCUUUGAAUAAUGUUUACCAUUUGUUGAUAAUUUUCUUGUGGUUUUCUCGUUGAGUCAAAGAUUAUCAACCGGUUCUUGGAAAUUUCAAUGACCAUGAGUAUCCAGUGAAAGUUGUUUACACACAUAUAUAUAUAUAUAUAGUCAGUCCUAUAUAUAACUAUAUAAAACUUGUUUCGAGUAAUAAUAAGUAAAAUAAAAUAUGCAUGCACUUAAUAACUAUAUAACUCACUCGAAGUUGAAGGGGAAGAAUAUUUUUUGUUUUUCUUUUUGGUUCACAAAGAACCUCAUAAGAUUGGUGCAGACUUCUGUCUCAUGAGAUGCUGUCCACACUGCCUUAUAAAUUCCACAUUUACUAGUAAACAUGUAUGAUUAAAGAAGAACCUAAUAAUAUCCUUUAUUUGUCUAGUUACUUCAACAAAUCUUCUAAAUUAUACAAUGGACAUUAUGUAGUAAUAAAAAUAAAUCAAGUGAUAUUAACAAACCAAUUAAUUUGAACUAUCUAAGAUCAUAAAAAGAUACUAUAAUUCAUCUUGCAAACUACAUUAAUAUUAGGUC